Molecule: RNase P RNA, 362 nt
Filed under: Granulicatella balaenopterae
Lineage: Bacteria; Bacillati; Bacillota; Bacilli; Lactobacillales; Carnobacteriaceae
Description: Bacterial RNase P class B
Rfam family: Bacterial RNase P class B
About the family: Ribonuclease P (RNase P) is a ubiquitous endoribonuclease, found in archaea, bacteria and eukarya as well as chloroplasts and mitochondria.
Source: Rfam by way of RNAcentral
AACUUUGAGUAAUUGCGGUCUGCUAAUGCAGGCUGAGGAAAGUCCAUGCUCGCACAGGCUGAGAUGCUUGUAGUGUUCGUGCUUAGCGAAACAAUAAGCUAAGGCAAUUUUAUAUUGACGGCAGAAAAAAUGGCUACGGCUCAUGCUAUGCCAAAGUAUUCUUGAAAGUGCCACAGUGACGAAGCAUUAUUGGAAACGAUAAUGGUGGAACGCGGUAAACCCCUCGAGCGAGCAACCCAAACAUUUGGUAGGGGCACUCUUAAUAGGAAUUAAACGAAAAAAGAGGCACAUUUUGUGUAGACAGAUGAUUACUGAAGCUAAUUGCACCUGACAAUUAGUGGAACAGAACAUGGCUUAUAGAA